AAACGAAGGAAAUAAAAAACUAGAUUCUAACGUAAGGUUAGAUCCGGUAAAAGUUGCACAAUAGUUUCCGGUGUAGAAACUGUGGUGCGAAAAGGAUUAAUUAAAUGCUAAAAAGGAAAGUAUAAAUUGCAAGGGAAAUAGUGUAGAACUUGUAAAAAAAUAAAUAAAGAAACAAUACUGAAAUUGCUGGAAAAGAAAAUAAGCAAAAGC
Molecule: long non-coding RNA, 210 nt
Filed under: Lathyrus oleraceus (garden pea)
Lineage: Eukaryota; Viridiplantae; Streptophyta; Magnoliopsida; Fabales; Fabaceae
Description: Pisum sativum (pea) long non-coding RNA (PSAT_LNC003609)
Source: RNAcentral